This 468-nucleotide ribosomal RNA is filed under the name uncultured bacterium. RNAcentral's name for it is "partial 16S ribosomal RNA". It matches the Rfam family "Bacterial small subunit ribosomal RNA", at positions 28 to 507 of the family's 1533-position model. The record is from RNAcentral.
GACGAACGCUGGCGGCGUGCUUAACACAUGCAAGUCGAACGGAAAGGCCCUGCUUUUGUGGGGUGCUCGAGUGGCGAACGGGUGAGUAACACGUAAGUAACCUGCCCUUGACUUUGGGAUAACUUCAGGAAACUGGGGCUAAUACCGGAUAGGAGCUCCUGCUGCAUGGCGGGGGUUGGAAAGUUUCGGCGGUUGGGGAUGGACUCGCGGCUUAUCAGCUUGUUGGUGGGGUAGUGGCUUACCAAGGCUUUGACGGGUAGCCGGCCUGAGAGGGUGACCGGCCACAUUGGGACUGAGAUACGGCCCAGACUCCUACGGGAGGCAGCAGUGGGGAAUAGUGCACAAUGGGCGGAAGCCUGAUGCAGCAACGCCGCGUGCGGGAUGACGGCCUUCGGGUUGUAAACCGCUUUCGCCUGUGACGAAGCGUGAGUGACGGUAAUGGGUAAAGAAGCACCGGCUAACUACGUG